UACGUAGGGUGCAAGCGUUGUCCGGAAUUAUUGGGCGUAAAGAGCUCGUAGGCGGUUUGUCGCGUCCGCUGUGAAAACUCAGGGCUUAACCCUGAGCCUGCAGUGGGUACGGGCAGACUAGAGUGUGGUAGGGGAGAUCGGAAUUCCUGGUGUAGCGGUGGAAUGCGCAGAUAUCAGGAGGAACACCGGUGGCGAAGGCGGAUCUCUGGGCCAUAACUGACGCUGAGGAGCGAAAGCAUGGGGAGCGAACAGG
RNAcentral lists this ribosomal RNA (253 nucleotides) under uncultured bacterium. RNAcentral describes it as "partial 16S ribosomal RNA". It matches the Rfam family "Bacterial small subunit ribosomal RNA", at positions 524 to 776 of the family's 1533-position model. The record is from RNAcentral.